UACGAAGGGAGCUAGCGUUGUUCGGAAUCACUGGGCGUAAAGCGCGCGUAGGCGGACCUUCAAGUCGGGGGUGAAAGCCCGAGGCUCAACCUCGGAACUGCCUUCGAUACUGCGGGUCUCGAGUCCGGGAGAGGUGAGUGGAAUUCCUAGUGUAGAGGUGAAAUUCGUAGAUAUUAGGAAGAACACCAGUGGCGAAGGCGGCUCACUGGCUCGGUACUGACGCUGAGGCGCGAAAGCGUGGGGAGCAAACAGG
RNAcentral lists this ribosomal RNA (253 nucleotides) under uncultured bacterium. RNAcentral describes it as "partial 16S ribosomal RNA". It matches the Rfam family "Bacterial small subunit ribosomal RNA", at positions 524 to 776 of the family's 1533-position model. The record is from RNAcentral.